GCCUGAGUGGCUCAGGUGGUUAAGCAACUGACUUCAGCUCAGGUCAUGAUCUCACAGUUUGUGGGUUCGAGCCCCACGUCAGGCU
RNAcentral lists this transfer RNA (85 nucleotides) under Felis catus (domestic cat). It matches the Rfam family "tRNA". From Rfam's summary of the family: Transfer RNA (tRNA) molecules are approximately 80 nucleotides in length. Lineage: Eukaryota; Metazoa; Chordata; Mammalia; Carnivora; Felidae. The record is from Rfam by way of RNAcentral.